UGGGGAAUAUUGGACAAUGGGCGCAAGCCUGAUGCAGCCAUGCCGCGUGAGUGAUGAAGGCCCUAGGGUUGUAAAGCUCUUUCACCGGGGAAGAUAAUGACGGUAACAGGAGAAGAAGCCCCGGCUAACACCGUGCCAGGAGCCGCGGUAAUACGGAGGGGGCUAGCGUUGUUCGGAAUUACUGGCCGUAAAGCGCACGUAGGCGGGUCGGUCAGUCAGAGGUGAAAUCCCGAAGCUUAACUUCGGAACUGCCUUUGAUACUGCUGAUCUAGAGUACGGGAGAGGUGAGUGGAAUUCCUAGUGUAGAGGUGAAAUUCGUAGAUAUUAGGAAGAACACCAGUGGCGAAGGCGGCUCACUGGCCCGGUACUGACGCUGAGGUGCGAAAGCGUGGGGAGCAAACAGGAUUAGAUACCCCCGUAGUCC
RNAcentral lists this ribosomal RNA (424 nucleotides) under uncultured prokaryote. RNAcentral describes it as "bacterial SSU rRNA". It matches the Rfam family "Bacterial small subunit ribosomal RNA", at positions 355 to 796 of the family's 1533-position model. The record is from RNAcentral.